This 1005-nucleotide ribosomal RNA is filed under the name Salmonella enterica subsp. enterica serovar Infantis. RNAcentral describes it as "partial 23S ribosomal RNA". It matches the Rfam family "Bacterial large subunit ribosomal RNA", at positions 147 to 1190 of the family's 2925-position model. Lineage: Bacteria; Pseudomonadati; Pseudomonadota; Gammaproteobacteria; Enterobacterales; Enterobacteriaceae. The record is from RNAcentral.
ACUAUCAUUAACUGAAUCCAUAGGUUAAUGAGGCGAACCGGGGGAACUGAAACAUCUAAGUACCCCGAGGAAAAGAAAUCAACCGAGAUUCCCCCAGUAGCGGCGAGCGAACGGGGAGGAGCCCAGAGCCUGAAUCAGCAUGUGUGUUAGUGGAAGCGUCUGGAAAGGCGCGCGAUACAGGGUGACAGCCCCGUACACAAAAGCGCAUGUGCUGUGAGCUCGAUGAGUAGGGCGGGACACGUGGUAUCCUGUCUGAAUAUGGGGGGACCAUCCUCCAAGGCUAAAUACUCCUGACUGACCGAUAGUGAACCAGUACCGUGAGGGAAAGGCGAAAAGAACCCCGGCGAGGGGAGUGAAAAAGAACCUGAAACCGUGUACGUACAAGCAGUGGGAGCACAGGUUUACCUGUGUGACUGCGUACCUUUUGUAUAAUGGGUCAGCGACUUAUAUUCUGUAGCAAGGUUAACCGAAUAGGGGAGCCGGAGGGAAACCGAGUCUUAAUUGGGCGUUAAGUUGCAGGGUAUAGACCCGAAACCCGGUGAUCUAGCCAUGGGCAGGUUGAAGGUUGGGUAACACUAACUGGAGGACCGAACCGACUAAUGUUGAAAAAUUAGCGGAUGACCUGUGGCUGGGGGUGAAAGGCCAAUCAAACCGGGAGAUAGCUGGUUCUCCCCGAAAGCUAUUUAGGUAGCGCCUCGUGAAUUCAUCUCCGGGGGUAGAGCACUGUUUCGGCUAGGGGGCCAUCCCGGCUUACCAACCCGAUGCAAACUGCGAAUACCGGAGAAUGUUAUCACGGGAGACACACGGCGGGUGCUAACGUCCGUCGUGAAGAGGGAAACAACCCAGACCGCCAGCUAAGGUCCCAAAGUCAUGGUUAAGUGGGAAACGAUGUGGGAAGGCCCAGACAGCCAGGAUGUUGGCUUAGAAGCAGCCAUCAUUUAAAGAAAGCGUAAUAGCUCACUGGUCGAGUCGGCCUGCGCGGAAGAUGUAACGGGGCUAAACCAU